RNAcentral lists this ribosomal RNA (450 nucleotides) under uncultured bacterium. Its description in RNAcentral is "partial 16S ribosomal RNA". It matches the Rfam family "Bacterial small subunit ribosomal RNA", at positions 354 to 796 of the family's 1533-position model. The record is from RNAcentral.
GUGGGGAAUUUUGGACAAUGGGCGAAAGCCUGAUCCAGCCAUGCCGCGUGUGUGAAGAAGGUCUUCGGAUUGUAAAGCACUUUAAGUUGGGAGGAAGGGUAGUAACCUAAUACGUUGCUACUUUGACGUUACCGACAGAAUAAGCACCGGCUAACUUCGUGCCAGCAGCCGCGGUAAUACGAAGGGUGCAAGCGUUAAUCGGAAUUACUGGGCGUAAAGCGCGCGUAGGUGGUUCAGUAAGUUGGAAGUGAAAUCCCCGGGCUCAACCUGGGAACUGCUUUCAAAACUGCUGAGCUAGAGUACGGUAGAGGGUGGUGGAAUUUCCUGUGUAGCGGUGAAAUGCGUAGAUAUAGGAAGGAACACCAGUGGCGAAGGCGACCACCUGGACUGAUACUGACACUGAGGUGCGAAAGCGUGGGGAGCAAACAGGAUUAGAUACCCGGGUAGUCC